Molecule: ribosomal RNA, 918 nt
Filed under: uncultured Bacteroidota bacterium
Lineage: Bacteria; Pseudomonadati; Bacteroidota
Description: bacterial SSU rRNA
Rfam family: Bacterial small subunit ribosomal RNA
Source: RNAcentral
GGAUCAGACUUUGAUUCUGGCUCAGGAUGAACGCUAGCCACAGGCUUAACACAUGCAAGUCGAGGGGCAGCAUGACGAUAGCUUGCUAUUGUUGAUGGCGACCGGCGCACGGGUGAGUAACGCGUAUCCAACCUGCCCUUGUCCAUCGGAUAACCCGUCGAAAGGCGGCCUAACACGAUAUGCAGUUCUCAGCAGGCAUCUAACGAGAACGAAAUGUAAAGGAGAAGGAUGGGGAUGCGUCUGAUUAGCUUGUUGGCGGGGUAACGGCCCACCAAGGCAACGAUCAGUAGGGGUUCUGAGAGGAAGGUCCCCCACAUUGGAACUGAGACACGGUCCAAACUCCUACGGGAGGCAGCAGUGAGGAAUAUUGGUCAAUGGACGGAAGUCUGAACCGGCCAAGUAGCGUGCAGGAUGACGGCCCUAUGGGUUGUAAACUGCUUUUAUACGGGGAUAAAGUGAGCCACGUGUGGCUUAUUGCAGGUACCGUAUGAAUAAGGACCGGCUAAUUCCGUGCCAGCAGCCGCGGUAAUACGGAAGGUCCGGGCGUUAUCCGGAUUUAUUGGGUUUAAAGGGAGCGUAGGCCGUUUGUUAAGCGUGUUGUGAAAUGUCGGGGCUCAACCUGGGCAUUGCAGCGCGAACUGGCAGACUUGAGUGCGCGGGAAGUAGGCGGAAUUCGUCGUGUAGCGGUGAAAUGCUUAGAUAUGACGAAGAACUCCGAUUGCGAAGGCAGCCUGCUGUAGCGUAACUGACGCUGAAGCUCGAAAGCGUGGGUAUCGAACAGGAUUAGAUACCCUGGUAGUCCACGCGGUAAACGAUGGAUGCUCGCUGUUUGCGUCUGACGUAAGCGGCCAAGCGAAAGCGUUAAGCAUCCCACCUGGGGAGUACGCCGGCAACGGUGCAACUCAAAUGAAUUGACGG